CAGAGGAGCCUGUUCAUUUCUGCUGCCUCCUCAGCAGGGCUCCCAGGCUGCACACAUCAGCUCUGGGCUCAGGGCCUUCAGGAUCAUUAAACCCUUCACCAAGAGAGCGCAAUGGAAGUGCUGAUUAUGAAAGCUUCUGGAAAUGGCCCAGGAGUGUAGGAGAAUGCGGAGCACAGACAAGGUUGAGAAGGGAGAAAAAAGGACCUGCUGGCCUUGGUACUGGAUCCAAACUAAUGAGAAC
Molecule: long non-coding RNA, 241 nt
Filed under: Bos indicus x Bos taurus (hybrid cattle)
Lineage: Eukaryota; Metazoa; Chordata; Mammalia; Artiodactyla; Bovidae
Description: lncRNA (ENSBIXG00000000709.1)
Source: RNAcentral